Molecule: ribosomal RNA, 253 nt
Filed under: uncultured bacterium
Lineage: Bacteria
Description: partial 16S ribosomal RNA
Rfam family: Bacterial small subunit ribosomal RNA
Source: RNAcentral
UACAGAGGGGGCAAGCGUUGUUCGGAAUUACUGGGCGUAAAGGGCGCGUAGGCGGCCUGUUAAGUCGAACGUGAAAUCCCCAGGCUCAACCUGGGAACUGCGUCCGAUACUGGCAGGCUUGAAUCCGGGAGAGGGAUGCGGAAUUCCAGGUGUAGCGGUGAAAUGCGUAGAUAUCUGGAGGAACACCGGUGGCGAAGGCGGGUCUCUGGGCCGAUACUGACGCUGAGGAGCGAAAGCGUGGGGAGCGAACAGG